RNAcentral lists this ribosomal RNA (482 nucleotides) under uncultured bacterium. RNAcentral describes it as "partial 16S ribosomal RNA". It matches the Rfam family "Bacterial small subunit ribosomal RNA", at positions 30 to 507 of the family's 1533-position model. The record is from RNAcentral.
AUUGAACGCUGGCGGCAUGCUUUACACAUGCAAGUCGAACGGUAACAGGCCGCCAGGUGCUGACGAGUGGCGCACGGGUGAGUAAUGCAUCGGAACGUGCCCAGUCGUGGGGGAUAACUACUCGAAAGAGUAGCUAAUACCGCAUACGAUCUAUGGAUGAAAGCGGGGGACCGUAAGGCCUCGCGCGAUUGGAGCGGCCGAUGUCAGAUUAGGUAGUUGGUGGGGUAAAGGCUCACCAAGCCAACGAUCUGUAGCUGGUCUGAGAGGACGACCAGCCACACUGGGACUGAGACACGGCCCAGACUCCUACGGGAGGCAGCAGUGGGGAAUUUUGGACAAUGGGCGCAAGCCUGAUCCAGCAAUGCCGCGUGCAGGAAGAAGGCCUUCGGGUUGUAAACUGCUUUUGUACGGAACGAAACGGCUCUGGUUAAUACCCGGGGCUAAUGACGGUACCGUAAGAAUAAGCACCGCCUAACUACGUG